Molecule: unclassified non-coding RNA, 243 nt
Filed under: plant metagenome
Description: partial contains small subunit ribosomal RNA, internal transcribed spacer 1, and 5.8S ribosomal RNA
Source: RNAcentral
CCUUCUUCCCCCUUUCUCCUUAGGUGAACCUGCGGAGGGAUCAUUACAGAGUUCAUGCCCUACCGGGUAGAUCUCCCACCCUAUGUUAUUAUUACUUUGUUGCUUUGGCGGGCCGUUAGGCUCCGGCCCGACUACCGGCCCCGGCUGGUAAGCGCCCGCCAGAGGACCCAAAACCCUGAAUAUUAGUGUCGUCUGAGUACUAUAUAAUAGUUAAAACUUUCAACAACGGAUCUCUUGGCUCUC